UGGAAGCUGAGGUAGCUUAUGGGAGCCUGU
This 30-nucleotide non-coding RNA is filed under the name Homo sapiens (human). Lineage: Eukaryota; Metazoa; Chordata; Mammalia; Primates; Hominidae. The record is from RNAcentral.